RNAcentral lists this ribosomal RNA (478 nucleotides) under uncultured bacterium. Its description in RNAcentral is "partial 16S ribosomal RNA". It matches the Rfam family "Bacterial small subunit ribosomal RNA", at positions 28 to 523 of the family's 1533-position model. The record is from RNAcentral.
GACGAACGCUGGCGGCGUGCUUAACUCAUGCAAGUCGAACGGUAAGGCCCUUCGGGGUACACGAGUGGCGAACGGGUGAGUAACACGUGGGUGAUCUGCCCUGCACUUCGGGAUAAGCCUGGGAAACUGGGUCUAAUACCGGAUAGGACCACUGCCUGCAUGGGUGGGGGUGGAAAGCUUUUGCGGUGUGGGAUGGGCCCGCGGCCUAUCAGCUUGUUGGUGGGGUGAUGGCCUACCAAGGCGACGACGGGUAGCCGGCCUGAGAGGGUGACCGGACACACUGGGACUGAGAUACGGCCCAGAGUCCUACGGGAGGCAGCAGUGGGGAAUAUUGCACAAUGGGCGCAAGCCUGAUGCAGCGACGCCGCGUGAGGGAUGACGGCCUUCGGGUUGUAAACCUCUUUCAGCACCGACGAAGCGCAAGUGACGGUAGGUGCAGAAGAAGGACCGGCCAACUACGUGCCAGCCGCCGCGGUAA